GCUCCUAUGGUGCAAUGGAUUAGCAUGAAACCUUGCGGAGGUUUUGAUCAGGGUUCGAAUCCCUGUAGGGGCA
RNAcentral lists this transfer RNA (73 nucleotides) under Candidatus Woesearchaeota archaeon. RNAcentral describes it as "tRNA-Arg". It matches the Rfam family "tRNA". Rfam says of the family: Transfer RNA (tRNA) molecules are approximately 80 nucleotides in length. Lineage: Archaea; Nanobdellati; Candidatus Woesearchaeota. The record is from RNAcentral.